This 253-nucleotide ribosomal RNA is filed under the name uncultured bacterium. RNAcentral's name for it is "partial 16S ribosomal RNA". It matches the Rfam family "Bacterial small subunit ribosomal RNA", at positions 524 to 776 of the family's 1533-position model. The record is from RNAcentral.
UACAUGUGGGGCAAGCGUUGUUCGGAAUUACUGGGCAUAAAGGGCUCGUAGGCGGUCUGUUGCGUCAGGAGUGAAAACUCGGGGCUUAACCCCGAGCCUGCUUCUGAUACGGGCAGACUAGAGGUAUGCAGGGGAGAACGGAAUUCCUGGUGUAGCGGUGAAAUGCGCAGAUAUCAGGAGGAACACCGGUGGCGAAGGCGGUUCUCUGGGCAUUACCUGACGCUGAGGAGCGAAAGUGUGGGGAGCGAACAGG